AAUGAACGUUGGCGGCGUGGAUUAGGCAUGCAAGUCGAGCGAGAACCCGCAAGGGGGACAGCGGCGAACGGGGUAGGACAACGUAGGUAACGUACCCUCGGGGCGAGGACAGCCACGGGAAACUGUGGGUAAUACUCGAUAAACUUCCAAUCAUUAUGGAAGGGAAGCAAUGGGUGUGAUUCCACCUGAGGAGCGGCUUACGCAGUAUCAGCUAGUUGGUGAGGUAACGGCUCACCAAGGCUACGACGCUUAGGGGGUGUGAGAGCAUGGCCCCCACCACUGGCACUGAGACACUGGCCAGACACCUACGGGUGGCUGCAGUCGAGAAUCUUCGGCAAUGGACGCAAGUCUGACCGAGCGACGCCGCGUGCGGAUGAAGGCCUGGUUGUAACCGCCGUCAGAGGGAGUGAAGUAUACGGGAGUUAGUCUCCUGUAUUUGACAGAGCCGUCAGACGGAAGACACGGGCUAAGUUCGUG
This 477-nucleotide ribosomal RNA is filed under the name uncultured bacterium. Its description in RNAcentral is "bacterial SSU rRNA". It matches the Rfam family "Bacterial small subunit ribosomal RNA", at positions 29 to 507 of the family's 1533-position model. The record is from RNAcentral.